Long non-coding RNA from Sardina pilchardus (European sardine), 749 nucleotides. RefSeq lists it as uncharacterized. NCBI's taxonomy places the organism in Eukaryota, Metazoa, Chordata, Actinopteri, Clupeiformes, Clupeidae. The transcript has 3 exons. The record is from RefSeq and is a predicted model, not a curated record.
UCUCCAGUGAGCAAGAAAAGGAUGUUUGGAGCAGUCAGAAAGGUCUGAAAUGACCAAAGGAAGAAACAAUUCAAUUUUGGGAGUGAUCCGGAUCACCGUCUGGAUCCCGGAGGCGCUUGGCAUAGGGAAGGUCAGACAUGACCCAAGGAAGAAACGAUUAAAUGGAAGUGAACCGUAACACCGUCAGGAUUCCGGAGCCGUUUAUGUGUUUCGCUUAGUGGUGUAAUGGCAUGGUAUGGCCGUGGUGGCGAUCUGAAUAGUUUAGGUUAAAAUGGAAGAACAAUACAGGCGGAGGUCUGCGCUCUGCUUUUCUAGUUGUUAUUGUCGCAUGCAUUUUGGACAAAUGUGUCUGAUAAGAGUUAUGACCAUAAUAACAAUACAUUACAUUUGAACAAAUUGUUAUAUUAUGUCAUUUGUCAUUCAUUUGACUCAGAUGGAAUAGACACAUUUGGACACAUCUUCAUGUGAAGUUUGAUGUGUCCGUUCUUUGUUCUGUUUUCUUUUUUCUUUUUGCAAUGAAACAUGUUCCAGGUUUUUUCCUUGUGAAAUAUUGUUUGGACAAACUUAUGCUUUUUGUUUAGUACACACGGAUAACUUUAUGUUGUCUCUGGCAAUGCUAGAGUGAGCAUUGUCUGUUUCGCACAGUAACUGAAUUCCUGUUUAAAUCAGAGACACACCUACAGUAAUGUAAUGAACAGUCUGUAUUGAGAAUUUUGUGCAAAGAAAAAAGGAACAACAAAAAAAGAAUU